UAAGGUUACAAUGAGGAUUCACAGCUCCCUCUUCUGAGUUAAGUUGAGGAAAUCUGCUGGCAGAAUCGAACCUAAGACUUUUAGCCAUCACUGAGUAA
This is a non-coding RNA of Jatropha curcas, 98 nucleotides long. NCBI's taxonomy places the organism in Eukaryota, Viridiplantae, Streptophyta, Magnoliopsida, Malpighiales, Euphorbiaceae. The record is from Rfam.